AAAGCCAAAUGUGAACCCUCCCAAUUCCAGUGCACAAACGGCCGCUGUAUUACGUUGCUGUGGAAAUGUGACGGGGACGAAGACUGCGCUGACGGCAGUGACGAAAGGAACUGUGUAAAGAAGACGUGUGCCGAGUCUGACUUUGUGUGCAACAAUGGCCAGUGUGUCCCCAGCCGGUGGCAAUGUGACGGGGAUCCCGACUGUGAAGACGGCUCUGAUGAAAACCCGGAACAGUGCCAUAUGAGAACAUGUCGCAUAAAUGAAAUGAGCUGUGGCGCCCGUUCCACUCAGUGUAUCCCAGUGUCCUGGAGGUGCGACGGUGAAAAUGAUUGUGACAGUGGCGAAGAUGAAGAAAACUGCGGUAAGAAGAUCAGUGUUGAGUGGCUUUGCCCCCAAGACCCUUUUGCUCAAAGAAGGGUGGGCAGGGGGAGAAGCUUCCAGGAGCGUGAAGAUGCAGUUCCAUUGACUGGCGUUUCAGUGACUUCGCUCUCUGCGCAGCUACUUGGCCUUCAUUACUGCCCUAAAACUGACAGAAGUCCCCGUGGUGGCUGACCACUGCCCGCUUCGGUGUUUGUCCUAGGCAGAUAGAAGUGAGAAGGUAAGUCACUCAGGGCACCGCCAUCCAGGAGGAGCUCAGUGAGGCCACGACGGUGUGGGCGUCUGUGUGUUAGGACAGGGGUGCACGGGCCUGCCUCACCCGGGCUCAGUACAACCAGCAGGGCACUAGGGCCAGCAGGCUCAUUCCUAGGUCUCAAGUGGGUCUGCUUUUUGGAAUAAAUGCCUUGAGUAGCAUACGAGCCGCUUGAGUUAGCCUCUGAACUCGAUUCUCUUUGAGGCUGUCCAAAGGUUAACCUGGCACAGAAGCGUUACCUAUCAUCUUGCCAGCACAGACCCAAAGAAAACCCUACCCAGCCGAAGGUACUUUUGUCUCUUCUCAAGGUUCCUGCCUGUAAAAAGGAGCUCUGUUUCCUAUGCUUUCGUGUUUCUGUUCCUGGAAAAUGUGUUAAUAAAGUGCUGCGCGUUCCAGGCGAGGCCCUGGGAAAUAUCUGGGUUGAACAAACAUUGCUGUGAGCACUCUUUCAAGCUACCGCCCUUUUAUAGGGCCCCGAGAGCGACAGCUCCCAAGGCUGACAGGCAUGGGCCUCCUGAGGCAGCAGAGUACUAGUGAGCUGAGCGUGCUUGCGGUCCAAACGCCAGUCUUGCAUGGAGAAGUCGACUUCUGAGGUCAAUACCACUGCACCUAGUCCAAUGAGUUCGGUGUUCGAUCUUAGAAUUGAGCUUUAUGUAUUGGUAAGCCCCAGGGCUGCCAAGUGUUUCCCUCCUAAAUCGAGACUUUGCUUCCCAAGAGAGUCGUGGUCUUUACCCUCAUUACCACCAAACUGUGACCUUGAUUCAUUCGGCAGGAAUUUGAGUCCAAGUACAAACUGGCUAGUCUGCCUGGUUUAUCAUCAUUAGCAUACCGGGCGACUAAGAUUGAGAUCAAUUCUAGCCCUAGCAGUGACUUUUUAACACUUGAAAAUAUUUAAGGCCUGUUAUUCCUGAUCCUCAUUUGAAGGACCAACAGAGAAGGAGCCAUGUAUGGUAGCAUAAAUAAUGGCUGAUUUUUGUUCAUAGUGUGAUAAUGCUUAUUAUGAGUCUGUGUUAAUCUGUGUACCUGAUACAUGGUAGUCUCAGCUGAUGAUCUGAACUGAUUUUAGAGAAAACUGUCUGUCUGUGUAGAGAUAGCUCAGUCUUUGCCAUUCAAAAUGAAAUCCCCCGGUCAGGUUUAAGUUGAUUGCUGUCCCUUUAGGAAUCUGUUGUGGUUCUCACCUCAGAUUAACUUCUAAGUCUUCAGCUGUUCUCUUGGUCCUUUCUUUCCGUUCUCAUUCAAGUGUCCCUGCAUCUUGUCCAUAUUGAGACUGCUUGCUAGUACGCCAGGAACCUGGAUAUGGAUAGAAUUCCACGAUAGCUUUUAGGUGAAGCUUGGAGAGCUAGGGUCCGCGAGCCGAGA
Leptonychotes weddellii (Weddell seal) is the source of this 1990-nucleotide non-coding RNA. The record is from RefSeq and is a predicted model, not a curated record. NCBI's taxonomy places the organism in Eukaryota, Metazoa, Chordata, Mammalia, Carnivora, Phocidae.